This is a microRNA precursor of Loxodonta africana (African savanna elephant), 81 nucleotides long. The record is from Ensembl. NCBI's taxonomy places the organism in Eukaryota, Metazoa, Chordata, Mammalia, Proboscidea, Elephantidae.
AACACCGUGGGCACUCAAUAAAUGUUUGUUGAAUUGAGAUGCAUUGAAUUCAACGGGUAUUUAUCGAGCACCCACUCUGUG